GCAGGGCUGAACCCUAGCGCGGGUCGCCCCAGCCCAGAUGGGGACCGAAAGGCGUUGUCUUCAUGUAGUUUUCUCGCUCCCAAGGAGAAGGGGUGCCACUUGGCCGGCGAAGUGGCCGGCAGCAGGAAGUAUGCCGUCGACAUCGUCGAGCUCCGCUUGAAGGACGGCAUGAAAGGCGCUCAACGACCAGAUCAUUGUCCUCUCCAAGAGGAGGGGCCAGCUCAAGGGGGCACAGCUAGCUCACAACAGCUCAGUCCCUGUUCUAGCAAUUUCGCCGGAACGUCGACCGCCUAUGCUCCACCUGAGACAUGCUGUGGAGUUUUGCAAGCAAAAGUGAAGCCUAUAAUAAUGAGUGACGAUUGUGAUAUGAUUACUGGAUGAGUAAUUCAGGGCAGGAAAGCUAAUUUACUGAAAAAAGGUAAAUACUGUAUUAAACAUAGUACAGAUGUACUUCGCUUGCCAAUUUUAAUUUCCAUUUAGAUCUAACAUGACGUCGUACUUAUAAUUUCCACAAAAUAUUGCCGGUCACUUGCGUAUGUUGGAUGUGAAAAACAGCAAUAUACACUUUGAUACUUUGAGGCUAUAAGAAAUAGUAGGGAUGAUAUGCUAACCCUUCCAGUCUGCAACAAUUUAUUCCUGGUCCCCUUGCCUCGCUUACAGUUCAUGUAGUACCAUGUUUAUGCUUCAAACCACCCACGACAUCCCUCUUCCGCCCAUUCUAUUUUAUUGAUAUUGCUUCCAAAUACACAUAUGCAUGUAGUUACUCUUUUACAGUACUAAUGCCAGAUAUCAUAAGGUAGAAAGUAGUGCUAUUUUAGUUAUGGAGUCAGCAAUGCAUGUUACUGGAAUGAUCAGCUAGCAUGCAAAUGAGCUCCAUUUCUUCUCUUUCAGAUACGAUCUUAUGUUCUGCCUGAACAUAGAUGCUUCCGCUGUGCACUCCAUUGUUCUGUCUUAUCACAAUUGGGUAUUGAAAGCGCCUAUUUUGAAUGCAACAAUUUAAAUAUUUACUGCUCUCUGUCUCCCCAUGUUUAGUGACGACGAAGUGAUGCAUACGGAAACAUGUUCGAUAAGAAACAGCAUGUCAAUAUGGAAUAUAAGCUGAGUGAGUAUUGUGUAUGAUGAGCCCUCCAAACAUUUUGCAAGGCCUGUAAAACAGUGGAAUGCAGCACUAGCAGAAAGGAAGAGCUGUAGACUCAAUCGUGGACUACUUGAGUUAACUAUUUGCUCAAUACAUCAAGCACCAGGCCUCUCCUACUCCUGCUCUCAAAAUGGAAAAGGAGAUCAGGCAACUAGGGAUCUGAGUACUAUAAUUUGAUAAUUUGUGUUUUUUGGGUGCUAAAAUAAUAUGACUAUUGAUGUACAUUUUUCUUAUGAUCAGGCAUGAAAGUGUCACCUUUUCUUAGAAGUGCCUUAUUCUUAGCCAGUCCUUCCAAUUAACACCUUAUUGAUUGGAACAUAAUGAGUAAAUGUAUGUGUGGUUCUUUCUGUUUAAGAGAUUCAGAUGAAAUUAUGGAAGCUACAACCUCUGUAUCUUAAGACCUUUUUUAUACCAAAAAGCUCCUUGCACAUUAAGUUA
Molecule: non-coding RNA, 1576 nt
Organism: Triticum urartu
Lineage: Eukaryota; Viridiplantae; Streptophyta; Magnoliopsida; Poales; Poaceae
Source: RefSeq, a predicted model, not a curated record